ACUAUUUGUAUCUCAAAAUAACUAAAUGAUUUUAUUUAUCAAAUUGGUAAAAGAAAUUCAAUUUUCCUUUACAAUGUAGAAAGUAUAUUAAUUUCCAAAUAAUUAAACUUUAAUAGUAUAAAAUUAUUAUUAAUACUUUAAAAAUUAUAGGUAGUAUUAUAGACAGUAGAUAACGUUUCUUUGACAUUAUAAAAAAAAAUUAAAAAAAAAAAAUUUCGCUAUUUUAUUUUUGAUCCUUAAAAGAGAUGGCUUAACAAAAAACAGGGGUUGAAAAGGAAGAGGGGGUGGAAAAUGAUUGCUUGUGGUUGGGGUGCGGACGCGAUCAUCCCUCGGCUUGACACGAAUUUUCCCCAAAGCCGCUAUUUCUGGCCCCAGGGAAUCGUGACGAGGAUGAAAGAAGAAAGAAGAACGGAAGUGGAUGUUUGCCGUCUGUUCGCCUCUGUCACUUGAUCACCUAAACGCGAGUUCCAUUUGUCUCGUUCGAUUUUUUAUCCGAUACUUAGAGAAACGAUGAUUUCAUAGCUUCUUGUCGAGGUUUAUUUGUAGAUGCAGCAAACGUCGAAUAAGAAUGUUGAAGAUAAAACAUUUUGAAUUGGUUUCCCUAUAAUAAUAAGGAUAAAAUAGUAAAAAUAGAAAAAAAAAUAUAUGUAUACAAUUACAAGCAAGUGGAUUUUCAUAUCGUUUAAGCUUAUCAUUGCAAAUAACUUAAUAAUAGUGUUUUGCGUUAGUCGUUUCUUGUAAUCUCUCUUCGUUUAAACCCAAAAGUGUUCAAAUUUAGCGCCACCUAAAAUCCUUAGAUAUUUUAAGAUUUCGUGCAGAAAAUCGCGAUAAUAUAAUCACGAUUAUUUCAGUAGUUACACGCCACUUUUUUGCCUAUUUUGAGCAGUAAGAAGUAAGAAUUUCAAUUUUCUAAUCAAUAUCAAUUUUCAAAUCGAAUGUUGGUCUAGAAGUGAGUGAACAUUCGUCUCUCGUUAUUAUUAUUCUUUAUCAAUUUUAGCUUUGUAAUAUUUAUUAUUAAAUAUUACAUAUAUCUUCUGAUUAACCUAUCACGAAAAAUAGUUAAAUAGUUAAAAUUCUUUAUCUAUAUUGAAUUAUAAUUUCAAUCAAUAACAUCGAAUUAAUUGUUUUAGAUUAGGUUAGGUUAGGUUAGAUUAAGUUGCAUUAUAUUUGAAUUAGUUAAUCUUUAUCCGCUCUAAAAUUUUUGCAAAGGAAAAAUCAUCUCAGAAAUAUUCAAUUAAGUUUUAUUAAUUAACUUCUGAAACACGUUUAUUCAGAUAUACAUUUACACACACACACACAAAAUCGUUAUACAUGUUGGUGGGCGAUUGGUCUUUGAGCACGGUGAUUUCUUUGAGCGCGAUAAGGUUACCAGGACAGAAUGAACCGAGAUCGAAACAAUACAGAAAAAUCGGUCUGUUAACAGAGAAAUCGUGUGCACUAAUUGUCGCCACGCGUUCACGUUUCCUAAUUAAUUUCUUCACAAUUGUUUUUCACAACCUUCUUGUCGCUUGUUCCUUUCUCGAAGCAAUGACUGAGACGCAAAGAAAGAGAGAGACAGAGAAUAAAAAGUGAGUGAUUUAGAAGAAAAAGAAAAAAAAAAAAAUAAAAAUAAAAAGAAAACGGAAAGUCGUGACACGGAUUUCUUUCUUUAUUUCGUGAUUGAAUGAAAUCUGAAAAUCGACCUGAAGAAAAACUUCUGCGCAUUCUUCCGCGCACACUCUAUCGGUGACUAAUUAAAUUUCGUCACGACCCACUCUCCUCCAUCUUUUGCUUUCGUUUCGUUUCUGCUUUCUUCGGUAGCUUUAUGGAUAAAUCUUUCGAUUAUUUUUUAAUGUUCUUUUUUUAUUCGUUGUGUUUCCAAAAAAUAUUUGAUUAAUGAAAAAAGUUAUCUUUAAAUUUUGUUAAGUUAAGGUUAAAAUUAACCUUCAAGUAUGUGUAAAUAUCUUCAUUGUUGAAAAGGUUAUAAUAAGAAUUUUUUAUUGAUAUUAUAUCAUAUUGCAUAUGAUAUUGCAUAUAUUGUUGGAUUAAACUUUAUUACUUUUUAUUAUAUUAACUAUUUAGAGAUGAGUCUCUCGAUUUUGAUUCUCAACAUAUUGAAAAUAUUUUCUAUAUAAAAUGAGAUUAUAAAUUGAGAAUAUUAUAUAAAAUAUUGUUAGUAUAUGAAAGAUAAAAAAGAAUAUUGUUUUAUAAAAAUAUACAUAAUAUAAUAAUAUAAUAAUAAAUAAUAUUAUUUAAAAUAAAAUUUGUAAUAUAACAAAUUUGUAUUUGUGAAAAAUGUAUGGAUGUUUCAAAAAUCAGUAUCUCCUUCUUCGAAAAAAUAAAAAAAAAUACCUAUCAAAAUAUUGAUCUAAUUCCGGGAAAUUAAAGCAAACAUUUGGAAAUGGAAUAGGCAAUCGGCGAAAAACGGAACCGAUAAUCGAGACAGUGGUGUGACGCCUCAUUUCCCAGUGAAAUUUAAUAGAGUUUCUUCGUGCAUUGUGCGUUUGCCGGGUGCGAUCAUUGAAAAUUGCCGAUAUUCCACGACGAGGGUGGAAUACGGAACGAUCCAGUUGAAUGACAACGAGAUAACCGAAUCAACGACGGUAUCUCCGUUAUUAGGAGGCCGACGAUUCUCUCGAAUAAUGGCCCUGCCUCUGCUACGUGCCUGUACAUACUCGAUGCGUUUUCGUGGAAAAUGCGAACGUCAUAUGAAUCGAUCAGAAUUUUUUUUACAAUUUCAAAUUUUUCAUCGAAUUUUAAAUUUUCUUUUCGAAUUUUUCAUUAAUAUUUCAUUACUUUGUUAAAAAGAAAUAUUAAGAUAUAUAUUUUUAUUGACAGAAAUUCCUCAGUAAAUAUAUUUAGAUAUAUAUACAUUUUUUUAAAUUAAAGUUUUUCCAUGUAAAAGAAUCUUUUAAUACUAAAAAUAAAAAACUCGAAGUAAUAUUUUA
Long non-coding RNA from Apis cerana (Asiatic honeybee), 2927 nucleotides. RefSeq lists it as uncharacterized. The record is from RefSeq and is a predicted model, not a curated record. NCBI's taxonomy places the organism in Eukaryota, Metazoa, Arthropoda, Insecta, Hymenoptera, Apidae.